RNAcentral lists this ribosomal RNA (503 nucleotides) under uncultured bacterium. RNAcentral describes it as "partial 16S ribosomal RNA". It matches the Rfam family "Bacterial small subunit ribosomal RNA", at positions 30 to 523 of the family's 1533-position model. The record is from RNAcentral.
AUUGAACGCUGGCGACAGGCUUAACACAUGCAAGUCGAGCGGAGUGAUGGUGCUUGCACUAUCACUUAGCGGCGGACGGGUGAGUAAUGCUUAGGAAUCUGCCUAUUAGUGGGGGACAACAUCUCGAAAGGGAUGCUAAUACCGCAUACGUCCUACGGGAGAAAGCAGGGGAUCACUUAUGACCUUGCGCUAAUAGAUGAGCCUAAGUCGGAUUAGCUAGUUGGUGGGGUAAAGGCCUACCAAGGCGACGAUCUGUAGCGGGUCUGAGAGGAUGAUCCGCCACACUGGGACUGGGACAAGGCCCAGACUCCUACGGGAGGCAGCAGUGGGGAAUAUUGGACAAUGGGGGGAACCCUGAUCCAGCCAUGCCGCGUGUGUGAAGAAGGCCUUAUGGUUGUAAAGCACUUUAAGCGAGGAGGAGGCUCUUUUGGUUAAUACCCAAGAUGAGUGGACGUUACUCGCAGAAUAAGCACCGGCUAACUCUGUGCCAGCCGCCGCCGUAA